RNAcentral lists this ribosomal RNA (268 nucleotides) under uncultured bacterium. RNAcentral describes it as "partial 16S ribosomal RNA". It matches the Rfam family "Bacterial small subunit ribosomal RNA", at positions 83 to 354 of the family's 1533-position model. The record is from RNAcentral.
CCCCGUGCAUGAGUGGCGGACGGGUGAGUAACGCGUGGGCAACCUGCCCUGUACAGGGGGACAACACUUAGAAAUAGGUGCUAAUACCGCAUAACGGGGGAGCCGCAUGGCACCCCCUGAAAACUCCGGUGGUACAGGAUGGGCCCGCGUCUGAUUAGCUGGUUGGCAGGGUAACGGCCUACCAAGGCGACGAUCAGUAGCCGGCCUGAGAGGGCGGACGGCCACACUGGGACUGAGACACGGCCCAGACUCCUACGGGAGGCAGCAG